Non-coding RNA from Paramuricea clavata, 220 nucleotides. Lineage: Eukaryota; Metazoa; Cnidaria; Anthozoa; Malacalcyonacea; Plexauridae. The record is from the annotation of a GenBank genome assembly.
CUUUGAAUUUAGUUAAUGUUCCCCAAGUUAAUUAGCCUAUCAUUCAAUCUGUCCACUGCCGUCCAUUAUCAAUCAUUGAGAUUUUGUUAGCAUCUUGCUCGAUUCAACAGUUGAAGUGUGUUGUUGAUGGAAAUUAUUGAGUGGAAAUUUAUAUUGCAUUAAUUGCAACAUUUUAUUAGGAAGACCUAUUAACCAGUAUGCCAACAAAUUCUUAAUAUUU